Molecule: ribosomal RNA, 441 nt
Filed under: uncultured bacterium
Lineage: Bacteria
Description: partial 16S ribosomal RNA
Rfam family: Bacterial small subunit ribosomal RNA
Source: RNAcentral
CCUACGGGUGGCUGCAGUGGGGAAUAUUGGGCAAUGGGCGCAAACCUGACCCAGCAACGCCGCGUGAAGGAAGAAGGCUUUCGGGUUGUAAACUUCUUUUGACAGGGAAGAGCAGAAGACGGUACCUGUCGAAUAAGCCACGGCUAACUACGUGCCAGCAGCCGCGGUAAUACGGAGGAUGCGAGCGUUAUCCGGAUUUAUUGGGUUUAAAGGGUGCGUAGGCGGAAUGCCAAGUCAGCGGUAAAAUCGCGGGGCUCAACCUCGCUCCGCCGUUGAAACUGGCGUUCUUGAGUGGGCGAGAAGUAUGCGGAAUGCGUGGUGUAGCGGUGAAAUGCAUAGAUAUCACGCAGAACUCCGAUUGCGAAGGCAGCAUACCGGCGCCCAACUGACGCUGAAGCACGAAAGCGUGGGUAUCGAACAGGAUUAGAUACCCGUGUAGUC